Molecule: long non-coding RNA, 4414 nt
Filed under: Setaria italica (foxtail millet)
Lineage: Eukaryota; Viridiplantae; Streptophyta; Magnoliopsida; Poales; Poaceae
Description: long non-coding RNA (SITA_LNC007080)
Source: RNAcentral
UCCGAUCUCCUUCCGCAGUCCCGCACCCUCUCCCUCCGUCCAUUUCUUCAGCCCCCGCCCCCAAUCCUACCCCAUGCCCGCCGUCUCCGCCGCCUUGCCACCCCAUCUUCCCCCUUCCCCCCGCGCCUGCUGCCGCCGCCCCUCUUUCCUCCCCUGCGCCAAGCCUGCCGCCGCCCCCGGUGACGAGGACCUCAGCGAUAGUCCAGUUCCCCUCUUGCGACGAUGGCGAGGACAAGAGGAGGUGGGAUGAGGACCGGGCGAGGAGGAGUGCAUCUCACUCCCCGUCUGCCAGCACUGCCCUCCAUCGUGCUCUCCCCUCUCCAACCCCGGCCGCCCCGAGCCCUCCAAGUGCACAUACCGGCCCCAAACCAAGAGGUUGGCCCCAGAUCGAGGCGCCCCUGACCUCCGUCCGUGGAGCUGCCCCAAUCUGCCGCCCCCUUCAAGCUGUCGACUGAGACUCAGGCGAGCGCCGUGGAGGCGAGUCAAGCGGGCUCCAGCGGUGCUAUGGAUGGGAUAUUUACCGCCGUCGCUGUGAGGGCUGCCACGAUCUAAGGUUCUGGCCAAUCAAUUUUUCUGGCCGAUCUAAUUGAUGCAAUCCUCCAGACAUUUAUCUCCAUUUAUCUCCAUACUCAGUAUAGCAGUGUAUUACUCUAAAGACGACAUCUAGAUUGGGCAAGUAAGCGUUUCUGAUCAUUUGUGAAAUUUGUCUGUUUGACAGGGAAACAUUUUGCCAAGCAUUGCAGGCUGAAAUCUGUCACAAAUCUCGUCUUUUGGAUUCUUGCGGAACUUGUUUUGACACUCCUAAAGGUAUUGAGAUUAGCUCCAUGUGCACAUUUUUUUAAUUUCAAUUUAAGCAAAGAGGUACGCUUAUUAUAAGAUUCAGCCAUGUAGUAAUACUGCACAUGUGUAAUACUAAUUCUUUACUAUAUAAAUUGGAAACCAUAGGAAUCUUUUUCAAUUUGGCAUAUCAAAGAACAACUCAUAUUGAAUUCUCCUGGUAAUUUAUUUUUGUAAGAUGCUGGUUUACUCUUUAUAGUAUCUGGACCUAUUUUUUCAAUUGUGUGGUGUUCUCAUAAAUGGACUUGGCACUCUAAUGGUCUUGUUACUACAACAAUAUUGAGUAAUAAAAAUUUCCUAUUCCGGUUAGCAGAUCUUCUGGGCACCAGUUUGGGUAUGAGCAAUUCCUUCUCUCACUUGGAGAAUGUCUCAUUUGAUCAUACCAUUCUGUAGUUUAACUUCACUAAUAUCAAUACAGUAGCUGGUUGUUCUUCUUUCUUUAGAAAAUUUUAAGCACGUGUAUAUAUUUUUUUAAGGGGCUCAUUCAUCAGCCCUAAGCACACAUUGCAUUAGAUGCUUGCAAACAAGGUGCUCACACAAGAGUUUUUUCGAUUUUAAUCAAUAAUUUUGUGCUAAUAAUUUUGAUUUUGCCUUGCCUUCCUGUCAGGAGUAAUUUCUUAAGAAUUCCUACAAGGAAUAACUGCCUCAUUGGAAAUUAUUGUAGAAGUGUGGAAGGAUAAGGGGAUAUUACAACAACAAACAAGAAGAGGCUUCAUGAUCAUUUGAGUUAGAACUACAACCCAAAAAAUAAAUGGUCUGUCCAGUUAUUAAUAUUCUGGUUUCAUACUGCAAAAAUAGAAAAGUGAUUAAAACCCUCCCAAGUAGUCUGUCCUGCUGCACUUUCUUUUCUAUAAUCCUGAUGCCAUUUUGUUUCAUGUGCCUGGAAGUGAUGGGAGAAGGUGGAGGAGAAGGGCUUUAGAAGUUCUUAAUUUGCAGGUUCAUUUUUUUUUGCUACUUUCAGAGGAGCAACUGAUAUAAAUUGAUAGUUACUAAUUUGUCAUGUGCAGGCUUCAGAGGAGCAACUGAUUUUUUUGAACAAUCUAGGAGCGUGAGGGGAAACUCAGCCUGUUCUUGAUCAUCUCAUGUAAGAAGUUUGAUUCUUGCUUUACAUAAAUGAGUAGCUGGACCUUACAAGACUGAAUAUCCUUUUACUGUCAGCACAGCUCUUUGAUUGAUCCCACCUGUCUUGGUUUGACAAUCGAUUUUGUAUUGCCUGCUUAGUGCUUAGCAUGUAAAACAAUUGCCACUGUUGAUGUGUAGAUAUAGUUUAGAAACCAAAUAUUCUGAAAUUGCAGCUGCUAUGGAUAGUCCUGAAAUUGUUCUAAAAAUGCAGCUGCUACACUAUAAUGGCAUCUUUCCGAAAAUUUAAAUGUCACUAAUAUAAGCUGCCAUCCUCAUUCUGUCAGUUACAACAUAGUGUGUGCUUACUGAAUGUUCUAACUCAUAGCUUACUAGAUGUAUCUAUAAACUCAGCCGUGGGCAAGAUUUCAUAUACAACCUUUGAUUUCCCAGUUCUCAUGCAAGUAGUAGUGUUUUUACAGGUGCUAAUGAAAUCAUGGCCUAAUGCCAUGAUGUGCCUUAAAUAUUGUGAGUGAACGACAGGGUAACUUGCUAUAAUGUUGUUUGCACACGUUACUUAUUUAAAGCAGCAUAGCCAUAUCUAUAAUAUUGAAUAGAAAAUUGCACUAUUCUUGUUUUUAAAGUAGCAUAGCCAUAUCUAUACUAUUGAAUAGAAAUUGCACUAUUCUUGUUUCUUGGAGUUGAGAUACCUUUGCGUGAUUGCUGAUAUUGUUCUGUAUUAUAGAAUGCUCAACACCCGAGAUGUAUUUUGAUUUUUCUAAUUUUUUUAUGCUCAUGUGAAGGUAAAGCUAAACGGGUAAGUUCAAAGUGUUAUAAAUGGUUUGCGAAAUUCUUUUUUUAUUUACUAUGCUAAACUCAGUAAUUAUUGAUCAUAUUUAUUUUUCCCAUCUAACGGGCAACAUAAUUGCCAAGGGCUCUCGGUAAUUGAACUUUUGCUAUUUUGUGAUAUGUACAUGAGUUCUUUCUUGGACCAAAGAUGUUUCAGUAUGAUAUUGCAGUGAUGUUGGAACUUGAUUAGUUGCUCUUGAGGCCUGAGCUGUUCUCAUUUGCUUUGUUGUGCUUAUAAGGAACAAUGGCCUAUAGGCUAUAUGUUGAUGGAUAAAUAUACUAGAGAAUGCCUGGCUGUCUGGUAACAAAUACUAAUUUUGGUAAAUAAACAAUGUUGCCAUGAUCAGUUGCUGAAUUUCCCAUACUAUUUAAUCUCUUAACAAUUAGGUGAAUAUUGGUAUUAAUAGUAUAUGUCCAUCCUUGCAUUAAUUGGUAGGAGAUAUGAUGUUACUUGUUAAAGUCUAAAUUGUAUUUGGGAGCACCUACCGGGCUAGGAGAUAAGAUGUUACUUGUUAAAUGUUGAAAUUUGUAUCGAGUACCUAUUUUUCUGUGAAAGCACAAAAGAAUAAUCAAAGAUUGAUAAGGUACAUGCUUAUCAAUGCUUGUUCCAGGGGACUUACGUUGUUAAGGUAGCUUAUAUACUAGAAUGGUUUUUUAACCCUGCCAAUUAUAUGAAGUUUAUGGUUGUUUUUUAAGGAUAAAUGACCAUAAAGUACAUUGUUUUGAAUCAUUAUUAUUUUUUUCCAACUGCAAAAUCCUGCUUGUAUCUAUGUCUCUUCAGCAGUCUACUGAUCGUGCUCCAAACUCUAAAUCUGUUUGCGAUCUUUCAUGCUACUAAUUUGUCUAGCAAACAGUUAUGUUUGGAAGCUAUAAUCAUCGGUGUGAUUUAUUAGAUUCUUAAAUGAUAAGCCCUUUUCCAUAAGUGAAGCUUGAUUAAUGUGAUUUUAGCUUCAAAUCUAAAACAUGUCCCAUUCAGCAGACAUGUAAAUGAGCUCUGGAGGGAUGCAAAAUCUAGGAACCACACUACUUAGAUGCACACCGUGCCUUGCACAAGAGAUGAACACCCACUUGCAAGGCAUGUGCUGGCUGAUUUGGAAGUACAAAGAGGAAGGAUUAAUUGGAGUUGGGAUUAUUUCUUCUGUCAAGACGAAAAACCAAAGUUGUAAUAAAUUUGGGCAUAUGGACAAGGAUGUGCCAUUUGCGAAGUAGAAAAAUUGUUUUGUUGAUGAAUCUUAGUGAACAAAAAGCUUUGUGCAUCUAAAUUGUUAUGCUAAUUAUUUUGCUUCUAGGUCCAUCUUAUAGGUCUUUCUUGUUAAGGUGGUUUAUUUUAUUUAAUUAUGUUGUAAGUCCGUAGCAAGGUAGCCGGUCACAAUUCUAGUCUUCACCUAUUUCUAAACAGUGGUCUGUUUCUGCGGUAAGUUGACUGUUGGUCUGUCAUAUGUCAAUGGCAACUGGAUUUUCCCCCUAUUCAAACAUCCUCUUCGUACCGCUUCGCGUGAAAGAAAAAAAGAAUUGAGUCUUUCUUCUCCCUCACGCGUCCCUAUCUCCUUAUGCCGUCGCUGUCGUAAGGACCCCGGCUACAUCGUCGACACCGCCACACCGGCGACGCCCACGCCCCCCGCCACCUCUCCGGUGCCAGCGAACCCGCCGCCGACCCCGGCGAGGCCCG